RNAcentral lists this ribosomal RNA (235 nucleotides) under uncultured prokaryote. RNAcentral's name for it is "partial 16S ribosomal RNA". It matches the Rfam family "Bacterial small subunit ribosomal RNA", at positions 524 to 758 of the family's 1533-position model. The record is from RNAcentral.
UACAGAGGUCCCAAGCGUUGUUCGGAUUCACUGGGCGUAGAGGGUGCGUAGGCGGUCGGGCAAGUCUGAUGUGAAAGCUCGAAGCUUAACUUCGAAAUGGCAUUGGAUACUAUUCGGCUUGAGGAACGGAAAAGAGACUGGAAUGCUCGGUGUAGCAGUGAAAUGCGUAGAUAUCUGGAGGAACACCGGUGGCGAAGGCGGCAUCCUGGACCAACACUGACACUGAGGAGCGAAA